UGGGGAAUUUUGGACAAUGGGGGAAACCCUGAUCCAGCCAUCCCGCGUGUGCGAUGAAGGCCUUCGGGUUGUAAAGCACUUUUGGCAGGAAAGAAACGUCAUGGGUUAAUACCCCGUGAAACUGACGGUACCUGCAGAAUAAGCACCGGCUAACUACGUGCCAGCAGCCGCGGUAAUACGUAGGGUGCAAGCGUUAAUCGUAAUUACUGGGCGUAAAGCGUGCGCAGGCGGUUCGGAAAGAAAGAUGUGAAAUCCCAGAGCUCAACUUUGGAACUGCAUUUCUAACUACCGGGCUAGAGUGUGUCAGAGGGAGGUGGAAUUCCGCGUGUAGCAGUGAAAUGCGUAGAUAUGCGGAGGAACACCGAUGGCGAAGGCAGCCUCCUGGGAUAACACUGACGCUCAUGCACGAAAGCGUGGGGAGCAAACAGG
RNAcentral lists this ribosomal RNA (429 nucleotides) under Acidobacteriota bacterium. RNAcentral describes it as "Acidobacteria bacterium partial 16S ribosomal RNA". It matches the Rfam family "Bacterial small subunit ribosomal RNA", at positions 355 to 776 of the family's 1533-position model. The record is from RNAcentral. Lineage: Bacteria; Pseudomonadati; Acidobacteriota.